CCCUUAGAUGUCCGGGGCUGCACGCGCGCUACACUGAAGGAAUCAGCGUGCUAAAACCAUUGUCGAAAGGCAUUGGUAAACCCAUUAAAAUCCUACGUGAUUGGGAUCGGGAAUUGCAAUUAUUUCCCUUGAACGAGGGAUUCCCAGUAAGUGUGGGUCAUAAGCUCGCGUUGAUUACGUCCCUGCCCUUUGUACACACCGCCCGUCGCUGCCCGGGACUGAGCCGUUUCGAGAAAAGCGGGGACUGCUGCUGUCGGGGCUUUCGGGCCUUGGCUUCGGUGGAAACCGCUUUAAUCGCAGUGGCUUGAACCGGGCAAAAGUCGUANCA
This 328-nucleotide ribosomal RNA is filed under the name uncultured eukaryote. RNAcentral's name for it is "partial 18S ribosomal RNA". It matches the Rfam family "Eukaryotic small subunit ribosomal RNA", at positions 1470 to 1796 of the family's 1831-position model. The record is from RNAcentral.